UGGAUGAUGGCGACCGGCGGAAGGGUGCGUAACGCGUGAGCAACAUGCCCUAUACAGGGAGAUACACCAGGGAAACUUGGUCUAAUAUCCCAUAGCAUUCAUUGAAGGCAUCUUUAAUGAAUUAAAGCUUCGGUGGUAUAGGAUUGGCUCGCGUGACAUUAGCCAGAUGGUGAGGUAACGGCUCACCAUAGCAAUGAUGUCUAGGGGUUCUGAGAGGAAGGCCCCCACACUGGGACUGAGACACGGCCCAGACUCC
Molecule: ribosomal RNA, 256 nt
Filed under: uncultured Bacteroidales bacterium
Lineage: Bacteria; Pseudomonadati; Bacteroidota; Bacteroidia; Bacteroidales
Description: partial 16S ribosomal RNA
Rfam family: Bacterial small subunit ribosomal RNA
Source: RNAcentral